This is a long non-coding RNA of Micropterus dolomieu (smallmouth bass), 959 nucleotides long. RefSeq lists it as uncharacterized. NCBI's taxonomy places the organism in Eukaryota, Metazoa, Chordata, Actinopteri, Centrarchiformes, Centrarchidae. The record is from RefSeq and is a predicted model, not a curated record. The transcript is spliced from 4 exons.
GGCUACAUCCGAGAGACAAUCCGUUUCUCGGUAGGCAGCGAUCUCCAAAGCGUUGCCGUCCGUGAUGCGAUGCAAAUUCACCCCCUCGCUGAGACAAGUGUCUUACCUUUAACGCAACGGAGCUCCAUGAGUAACAAAUGUAAUAGCACAAGCUUUCCGACUUCUGUCCACAUCUUUAGAUCCUGGGGUGUCAACGGUUGUGUUCAUGCAAGUGAAAAAACAGUGAAGGAUCCCCAACCUCUCACUCGCUCUGUAUGAUCCGCGUGCUGCCUCUGCUCCUGAGUGCGUGAGCGUGUGUGUUCAGCCUGGAUCUCCUUUCUCUGCCUCUGCCUCGGCUGCAAUUUGAAUGAGUGACGCUUAUGGGCGGGAUGGCAAGGGACAGUGCCUGCGGAUAAUAGAUCAGUGUUGAAAUUGUGUUCAUCUUACAUCCCUGCACACACAGCUGGAACUCAUGCAUUCGUCUUUGCCACAGGACAGUGAAUUUGGAUGGCAAGGCAGUGAAAAGUGUGGGUCAAGCUGCCAGGAUGAGUAUGUCCACUCAGUGAGAGCAGCCAGGCCACAGCUGGAGCUGUCAGAACUAGUGAUUUAAUCAAAUGCUGAGGGGUCCACAGCUGUAUCUAGUCACGGAGGAGAUAAAAGAGACACAACUAAGAGGAUGUAGAAGCGUUCAUUUGGCAGGCAUAUGGGGUCUGGGUCCAACCCAAUAGUGACCAUUUUUGCCAAACUGCCUGUGGUUCAUACAAGACCAGGGUUAGAUGAACCUCUCUGCCAAAAAGCCAUAAUUUUUCUGAUGUGUGAUCUCUGUUUUUAGUAAAAUUAUUUUACUUAUAUUUUGCUUGUGGUAUCUGCCAAGUAUUCUUAUAUUCUGAACUGUAUUUUCUUGUUUUACUUCCUUUGCAUUCAUUGUGUUUGCUAUGCUGAAAGUCAUACUAGAUCUUCAAUAAAGAGGCUGCUCAGAA